UUUUUAUUAGCCAAACAGAAAAGUUUUUUCCUUUAAAAAAGUCAAGUUUCAGAUCAGUCACAAAAAC
Molecule: transfer RNA, 67 nt
Filed under: Caenorhabditis brenneri
Lineage: Eukaryota; Metazoa; Nematoda; Chromadorea; Rhabditida; Rhabditidae
Description: tRNA CBN34412
Source: RNAcentral